GGUCAAGCUACAAAGGGCGUAUGGUGAAUGCCUUGGCAUCAGGAGCCGACGAAGGACGCGAUAAGCUGCGAUAAGCUUUGGGUAGGCGCACAUAGCCAGUGAUCCAAAGAUUUCCGAAUGAGGAAACUCACAUGGGAAACCCCAUGUAUCAUAUAGUGAAUAAAUAGCUAUAUGAAGGUAGACCCAGGGAACUGAAACAUCUAAGUACCUGGAGGAAGAGAAAGAAACAUCGAUUUUCUUAGUAGCGGCGAGCGAAAAGGAAAGAGCCCAAACCAAGGAUUUAUUCUUGGGGUUGCGGACAGAACAUGAAAAAGGUGAAAUCGUAACUGAAGAUAACUGGAAAGUUAAACCGUAGAGGGUAAUAGUCCCGUAAGUGAAACGAGGAAGCUAAUAGUUCUGAUCCAGAGUACCACGAGACACGUGAAACCUUGUGGGAAGCAGGGAGGACCACCUCCCAAGGCUAAAUACUACCUGAUGACCGAUAGUGAAGAAGUACCGUGAGG
Molecule: ribosomal RNA, 503 nt
Filed under: Clostridium gasigenes
Lineage: Bacteria; Bacillati; Bacillota; Clostridia; Eubacteriales; Clostridiaceae
Description: partial 23S ribosomal RNA
Rfam family: Bacterial large subunit ribosomal RNA
Source: RNAcentral